AUUUUCAGUUUUGAAUUUGUAAAGAAAGAGUUUAUGCAUAAAUAUUACUAUCGUAUUUCAUAAAACUUUGAAGUGAAAAACACUCACAUUCUAUGAUGUGGCGAAGUCUAUUUAAUUAUAUAUUAAUUGCAAGCUACUAACUCAUGUCGUAAACUAUUGUAGUGUGAUUUUGUAUUGUUGGAUUCAAAACUACCGGUUUCUAAGAAUCAACUAUUCUUUCCAUGAGAGAUUCUUCUGCGACCAGAACAGCCGGCUGAACGAGCUGAUGGCCGAGACCAAGACCACGGAGUAAAGAACACUCAUUGUUAUGUAUUCUGUGCCAAGACCGAGAUAUCGCUGGCUCCCCCCUCCACUGGCAAGGACCAGAUAGCUAUAGCUGGUGACAAGGAGGGAGUGCAAGCUGCCAAGGACCACAUCAUGGCUGUCUACAACGAAAUGCACUGACGAUGAUAUAGGAGAAGGCGAACAGCGUAGUGGAGCAGUACCUAGACGUGCCCUCCUAGAUCCACCGACAUCUGAUCGGCAAAAAGGGCGCCGACAUUCUCAAGACAAAGGAGGACAGCCCCAAGGUCUAUUUCGAAAAGAACAAGGACCGCCAGGAGAAGGACAAUCGUAUCAGAAUAGAAGGU
This is a long non-coding RNA of Nilaparvata lugens (brown planthopper), 629 nucleotides long. RefSeq lists it as uncharacterized. The transcript has 3 exons. NCBI's taxonomy places the organism in Eukaryota, Metazoa, Arthropoda, Insecta, Hemiptera, Delphacidae. The record is from RefSeq and is a predicted model, not a curated record.